Molecule: ribosomal RNA, 600 nt
Filed under: uncultured bacterium
Lineage: Bacteria
Description: bacterial SSU rRNA
Rfam family: Bacterial small subunit ribosomal RNA
Source: RNAcentral
GUGCUUAACACAUGCAAGUCGAACGGUAAGGCCCUUCGGGGUACACGAGUGGCGAACGGGUGAGUAACGCGUGAGUAACCUGCCCUUCACUCUGGGAUAACAGUUGGAAACGGCUGCUAAUACCGGAUAUUCAGCUCCUGUCGCAUGGUGGGGGUUGGAAAGUUUUGGUGGUGGAGGAUGGGCUCGCGUCCUAUCAGCUUGUUGGUGGGGUGAUGGCCUACCAAGGCGUCGACGGGUAGCCGGCCUGAGAGGGCGACCGGCCACAUUGGGACUGAGAUACGGCCCAAACCCCUACGGGAGGCAGCAGUGGGGAAUAUUGCACAAUGGGCGGAAGCCUGAUGCAGCAACGCCGCGUGCGGGAUGACGGCCUUCGGGUUGUAAACCGCUUUCAGCAGGGACGAAGCGUGAGUGACGGUACCUGCAGAAGAAGCACCGGCUAACUACGUGCCAGCAGCCGCGGUGAUACGUAGGGUGCGAGCGUUGUCCGGAUUUAUUGGGCGUAAAGAGCUUGUAGGCGGUUGGUUGCGUCGAAAGUGCAAACUCAGGGCUUAACUCUGAGCCUGCUUUCGAUACGGGCUGACUGGAGGAAGGUAGGGGAGA